Molecule: non-coding RNA, 207 nt
Organism: Neolamprologus brichardi
Lineage: Eukaryota; Metazoa; Chordata; Actinopteri; Cichliformes; Cichlidae
Source: RefSeq, a predicted model, not a curated record
GGUUACUCUCAUGUGCUGCGUGGGCGCCUCCUGCAGGGCACGCAGCCCUUUGACAAGGGGCUGGGCUUCUCUCAUCAGGAGGCAGGCCAGCGAGCUUGGGAACAGAAGCAGAGGCGGGGACAGAGAGAGGAGAAGGAGGAGUAUGUUGCUGAGGCACAGUUUGUUGAAGAACGUGGAAAUGUACUUGCUAGAAAGGACCGGAAAGCC